Molecule: long non-coding RNA, 473 nt
Filed under: Medicago truncatula (barrel medic)
Lineage: Eukaryota; Viridiplantae; Streptophyta; Magnoliopsida; Fabales; Fabaceae
Description: lncRNA gene3856
Source: RNAcentral
GUAUAGAGCUUCAGUACGCGUCUGUUCGCAGUACUAAUGCUAAAAAGAAACAAGUCCAACACUAUAUGAUGAAAUAAGCCACUUCAUGCAAAAAAGAAUAAUAAGCCCCAUCAAAGUUGACAGGAAGCUAGUAGCAUAAGUGCACAAUGAUGUUGUUUAAGUCCCAUAUCGGAAGAUUUGAGAGAACAAGAGAAGAAAGCUAUCUAUAAAAUCAACCAAAUGUAUUGCAAAUUAUUUGGAUUUGAGGAUACACAGCAGUGUAGUAAUAAAUGGCGGUGUCUUCAUUUGACCAUUGAUAUUUAGUUAUUUUUAUUUUAGGGUAAUACUCAUUAUGCUAUUGAAUGAAUGUAUAAGAAGGAAUAACAUAGUUAUUUUUUUAGUCUUUGACUAUGUGCUAUGACUAUUUCUUAUAUAUUGAUCACCAAUAUGACUAUGUCUCAUUUUUUUAAAGUUCAAGCUUUUAUCAACCAAUU